Molecule: transfer RNA, 73 nt
Filed under: Frankiaceae bacterium
Lineage: Bacteria; Bacillati; Actinomycetota; Actinomycetes; Frankiales; Frankiaceae
Rfam family: tRNA
About the family: Transfer RNA (tRNA) molecules are approximately 80 nucleotides in length.
Source: Rfam by way of RNAcentral
GGCCAGGUAGCUCAGCUGGUAGAUCAUGCGACUGAAAAUCGCAGGGUCGGCGGUUCGAUCCCGUCCAUGGCCA